This is a long non-coding RNA of Felis catus (domestic cat), 2696 nucleotides long. RefSeq lists it as uncharacterized. Lineage: Eukaryota; Metazoa; Chordata; Mammalia; Carnivora; Felidae. The transcript is spliced from 5 exons. The record is from RefSeq and is a predicted model, not a curated record.
CCCCCCCCCCCGCCGAGGAUUCCCUGAGGAUAACCGGUGUGGCAUUUCAUCUCCUGGAGGCCAGUGUGGAGUCUCAGAAAAAGCAUGUGCUUUGGCACGAAUCCUCCCAGCGAGCCAAAGAGAUGACUAAGCGGAGGAGGCUCAGAGAGGUGAAGACAGUUGUCCCGGGUCACCCAGCUAGCGAGUGCUGGGCUGGGGUCUGAACCCCUCUCACCAGGAACUGGUACUUGUUCCUCUGCCAUGUCACUUGGGCUUCCGCAUAGUUUUCCUUUGGAGAAAGGGAUAGAGAGCUUAAAAAUCAUUGGAAACCAGCGCACCAGACCAAGCGAAGUCCGGGGCUCGUGCCUGGCGGAUCGGCGUGUGAUAAGAGAGCUGCCCCGAGUCUCAGCUCGGAUGUUGGCCCACAGCCCUACUGUGGCCGGCCCCUGACUAGACCUGUCCUCAUCCCACUGACGAACUCAGAGGGGGCUGCCCAGGGCUGGGCAAGCACUGUCUCCUGCGAUCUACUGGAACCAUCUACCAGCUUGUUGCCAGGGCUAAGGUAUACCUGGGAAGCCGUGGCUGACACGAAGGAGGCCUGAAGAAACAUCAGCCACUGUAAUUUGUAUUAUUAUCACCGUACCUAUUGAGAGAGAAGUCAACAGAUGUGUGGAAGGAUGGCUGGACGUGCAGACGGCUGGACGGAUGGGCAGACGGAUGGCGGCGUGACGAGGGAAUGAGUCGGGGGACAAUCUAAUGCACACACAGAUGAGGGGAGGGUGGGUGGAGGAGAGGAAGGGAGAGGAUGGGGGGUUGGACACCAGAAUGGAUGCUCCGUGGGAAGGGCAGCAGGUGGAGCGAUCGCAGGGAACCCUGCUCUGAACUCACCCCCAAGGCGUCAGAGUCUGCUACCCGCCGCACUCCCGAUGGGAAAUCCUAUCGGAGUCGUCCCUCCCCAACACCCAGGUCUGCUCCUGCUCUGGCUCCUGACAGUUUACAAGCCAAGCUGUUCUCUGAGGCUCUCGUGGCACUCAGCAGCUGGUCACGCAGUCCCUGUCCGCCCUGUCACAGAGCCAUGCCCAGGGCCAGGCGGGCUCUCCUCCCAGAUGGCCCUGGUCUGGAUCCGCUGGGACUUCAAGUCCGCACCGGGGAGCUCAGUGCUCCACCUGAGGCAGCAGGACACAGCUCUGCCCCUGUGACUCCUUUUACGCUGUGUAAUUGCCCUCAACCUCCCAGGAAACUGAGGGAAUGGACUGAGCAGCGACUGCGUACCAGACCGACCCUCGGCGCUUUUUGUCAUAUUUAAUCAGUAUUACAAUCCUAGAAGGUGGAGUGUAAUCAUCCGUGUCUCACACAUGAGGUCGAGAACUCAGAGUCACGGAGAGCAAGUGGAAUCAGGACUUGAUCCCAGUCUCCCACUCCAGACACCAAGGCUCUUUCUACAACCUCAACAUUCUUGGGGGCCUCAGAAGGGGAUCCCAUCCCAUUUCCAGGGGGCACGCAAACUGUUGCUUGGGGACAAAGCUGGGACUAUGCCAGGAUUCUGGACGCCCCCCAAACGCCUUCUAGGGAUAAAAUGAUAUUUCUUAUUGAUCUUAUGUUAGAACAACUUGGCUAGAAGAAGACCUGUUGGUUCAAAGAGUUCAACCAUUGCCCCCCCGCCCCCAACCUUACUCCAUAUGCCGGUGAAGAACAUAGACAUGUACUCCUUUGGUCGCCAAGGAUACCGCAAUCUAAUGUGAUAUCUCCCCAGCAGGAAUGGUCCCGGUACUGGUCAGACAGGUGGAACAGCCCUUCUCUGCCCGUCUCCUGGGUUGGCAGCUAAUCCUGAAAUCAGCUUGUGAUCCACUCUCAGGGCUCCUUGUGUCUUAAAUGGGACUCUUGAGAACCAAGAGCCUUCAAAAUCAUGGAUGAAUCCUGAAUCGCGCCCCCCAGGAGCCUCUCCUACUGUCCUGUGUGGGCAGGCCGACCCACUUGCACAGGUGUAUCUCCUCCCUGAGCCAGACGAGAGGCCUUCUGUGCAGAUUGUUAAAUAUCUAAAAAUUUCCAGUGCUACCUGAUGUUCAAAGUACCAUGUCAUAGGAUCCCCAAAAUAGCUCCAGUACAAGAAAAAGAAAUUAUAGACCGAGCUCACUUAUGAAAUGGGACAGGAAAUUCUGAAUAAAAUAUUAGCUAAUGGAAUUCAGCAAUUCAUAUUUUAAAGUACAUCAUGAUCAAGUAAAGUUUAACCCAGGAAUGUAGGGUUAGCUCGAUAUUGGAAAAUUUAUUCUACGACACGGCACACGAACAGACGAAUGGAGAAAGAUCAGAGCGUCAUCUCAAAACAUGCAGGAAAGAGACUUAAUAUCAUGGAACACAUAUUCGUGAUUAAAACAGAAACUCUUGGUGAAAUAAGGGGAAAGGGAACAUCCCUAAUCUGAUGAAGUGUAUCUAUGAAGAAAUUUAAGCAAAUAUUUCACUCAAGGAUGAGGCGUUAGGCCUAGUUCCUUUAAGUCAGGAGUGAGGUCGGAUACCCUCUAUCAUUGACGCUGCUCCACAUUGAACUGAAGACCUAAUCAACACAAUGAGGAAAGAAGAAAUGAGUACAUCGUGUAAGAAUUCAAAAGAAGUAAAACUGACUUCAUUUGCAUUGCUAUAUAGAAAUUGCCCAAGAAUCUACAGUCUUCUAGAAUGAGUAAGAGCGUUCGCUGUAAUACAAGCUCAGUAUCUAGGUCUCA